CUACCUCUGACUGGAGGAUAGCCCGAAGAAAUUCGGAUUAAUACUCCAUAAUACUAUGGACAGGCAUCUGUUCAUGGUUAAAGCCCCGGCGGUCAGAGAUGGGCAUGCGUGACAUUAGCUUGUUGGUGAGGUAACAGCUCACCAAGGCUACGAUGUCUAGGGGGUCUGAGAGGAUGGUCCCCCACACUGGUACUGGGACACGGACCAGACUCCUACGGGAGGCAGCAGUGAGGAAUAUUGGUCAAUGGGCGAAAGCCUGAACCAGCCAUGCCGCGUGAAGGAUGACAGCCCUAUGGGUUGUAAACUUCUUUUGUACGGGAAGAAACGCCUCUACGUGUAGAGGUUUGACGGUACCGUACGAAUAAGCAUCGGCUAACUCCGUGCCAGCAGCCGCGGUAAUACGGAGGAUGCAAGCGUUAUCCGGAUUUAUUGGGUUUAAAGGGUACGUAGGCGGGAGCUUAAGUCAGUGGUGAAAUCCUGCAGCUUAACUGUAGAACUGUCAUUGAUACUGGGCUUCUUGAAUGUAGUUGAGGUAGGCGGAAUGUGUAAUGUAGCGGUGAAAUGCUUAGAUAUUACACAGAACACCGAUUGCGAAGGCAGCUUACUAAACUACGAUUGACGCUGAGGUACGAAAGCGUGGGGAGCGAACAGGAUUAGAUACCCUGGUAGUCCACGCUGUAAACGAUGAUCACUCGUUGUUGGCAAUACACCGUCAGCGACUGAGCGAAAGCAUUAAGUGAUCCACCUGGGGAGUACGACCGCAAGGUUGAACUCAAAGGAAUUGACGGGGGCCCGCACAAGCGGAGGAACAUGUGGUUUAAUUCGAUGAUACGCGAGGAACCUUACCUGGGCUUAAAUGUAGAACGACGGACCGGGAAACUGGUCUUUCUUCGGACGGUCUGCAAGGUGCUGCAUGGCUGUCGUCAGCUCGUGCCGUGAGGUGUCGGGUUAAGUCCCAUAACG
RNAcentral lists this ribosomal RNA (963 nucleotides) under uncultured organism. RNAcentral's name for it is "bacterial SSU rRNA". It matches the Rfam family "Bacterial small subunit ribosomal RNA", at positions 126 to 1094 of the family's 1533-position model. The record is from RNAcentral.